Molecule: ribosomal RNA, 262 nt
Filed under: unidentified marine bacterioplankton
Lineage: Bacteria
Description: partial 16S ribosomal RNA
Rfam family: Bacterial small subunit ribosomal RNA
Source: RNAcentral
AAGCUUGCUUUUCUGAGACCGGCGCACGGGUGCGUAACGCGUAUGCAAUCUACCUUUCACAAAGGGAUAGCCCAGAGAAAUUUGGAUUAAUACCUUAUAGUAUAUCGAGUUGGCAUCAACAUGAUAUUAAAGAUUUAUCGGUGAAAGAUGAGCAUGCGUCCCAUUAGCUAGUUGGUAUGGUAACGGCAUACCAAGGCUACGAUGGGUAGGGGUCCUGAGAGGGAGAUCCCCCACACUGGUACUGAGACACGGACCAGACUCC